AAUAGAUACCCAGGUAGUCCACGCCGUAAACGAUGAGUGCUAAGUGUUAGAGGGUUUCCGCCCUUUAGUGCUGAAGUUAACGCAUUAAGCACUCCGCCUGGGGAGUACGGUCGCAAGACUGAAACUCAAAGGAAUUGACGGGGGCCCGCACAAGCGGUGGAGCAUGUGGUUUAAUUCGAAGCAACGCGAAGAACCUUACCAGAUCUUGACAUCCUCUGACAACCCUAGAGAUAGGGCUUUCCCUUCGGGGACAGAGUGACAGGUGGUGCAUGGUUGUCGUCAGCUCGUGUCGUGAGAUGUUGGGUUAAGUCCCGCAACGAGCGCAACCCUUGAUCUUAGUUGCCAGCAUUUAGUUGGGCACUCUAAGGUGACUGCCGGUGACAAACCGGAGGAAGGUGGGGAUGACGUCAAAUCAUCAUGCCCCUUAUGACCUGGGCUACACACGUGCUACAAUGGACGGUACAAAGAGUCGCGAGACCGCGAGGUGGAGCUAAUCUCAUAAAACCGGUUCUCAGUUCGGAUUGUAGGCUGCUAAC
This 536-nucleotide ribosomal RNA is filed under the name uncultured bacterium. RNAcentral's name for it is "bacterial SSU rRNA". It matches the Rfam family "Bacterial small subunit ribosomal RNA", at positions 777 to 1312 of the family's 1533-position model. The record is from RNAcentral.